Molecule: RNase P RNA, 341 nt
Filed under: pig gut metagenome
Description: Bacterial RNase P class A
Rfam family: Bacterial RNase P class A
About the family: Ribonuclease P (RNase P) is a ubiquitous endoribonuclease, found in archaea, bacteria and eukarya as well as chloroplasts and mitochondria. Its best characterised activity is the generation of mature 5'-ends of tRNAs by cleaving the 5'-leader elements of precursor-tRNAs.
Source: RNAcentral
AGUAAAUUGGGCAGUCGCGGAGCGUUUUACACUGCUCUGAGGAAAGUCCGAGCUUCAAACAGCAGGAUAACGGCUAACGGCCGCCGAGGGUGACCUUAGGGAAAGUGCAACAGAAAUAAACCGCCGCUUUUGCGGUAAGGAUGGAAAGGCGAGGUAAGAGCUCACCGGCGUGCAGGAGACUGCACGGCCAUGUAAACCCUAUCCGAAGCAACACCGACCGAAUGCAAUUUUUUGCGCGUCAGCUGGGCGUAUAUUCAACGGGUGGCUUGAGCGUGCAGGCAACUGUACGUCGAGAAAGAUGAUUGCCUUAAAAGACAGAACUCGGCUUACAGAUUUACUCA